This 256-nucleotide ribosomal RNA is filed under the name Salmonella enterica subsp. arizonae serovar 41:z4,z23:-. RNAcentral's name for it is "partial 23S ribosomal RNA". It matches the Rfam family "Bacterial large subunit ribosomal RNA", at positions 1088 to 1343 of the family's 2925-position model. Lineage: Bacteria; Pseudomonadati; Pseudomonadota; Gammaproteobacteria; Enterobacterales; Enterobacteriaceae. The record is from RNAcentral.
GACAGCCAGGAUGUUGGCUUAGAAGCAGCCAUCAUUUAAAGAAAGCGUAAUAGCUCACUGGUCGAGUCGGCCUGCGCGGAAGAUGUAACGGGGCUAAACCAUGCACCGAAGCUGCGGCAGCGACACUAAGUGUUGUUGGGUAGGGGAGCGUUCUGUAAGCCUGCGAAGGUGUGUCGUGAGGCAUGCUGGAGGUAUCAGAAGUGCGAAUGCUGACAUAAGUAACGAUAAUGCGGGUGAAAAACCCGCACGCCGGAAG